Non-coding RNA from Potamilus streckersoni, 72 nucleotides. Lineage: Eukaryota; Metazoa; Mollusca; Bivalvia; Unionida; Unionidae. The record is from the annotation of a GenBank genome assembly.
GCUCCGGUGGUUUAGUGGUUAGAGCGUCCGCCUCAGACGUGGGAGGUCGGGGUUCGAUCCCAGGUUGAGUCA